Ictalurus furcatus (blue catfish) is the source of this 5134-nucleotide RNA transcript. RefSeq lists it as uncharacterized. The transcript is spliced from 16 exons. The record is from RefSeq and is a predicted model, not a curated record. NCBI's taxonomy places the organism in Eukaryota, Metazoa, Chordata, Actinopteri, Siluriformes, Ictaluridae.
AUCUUAACGUCUCACAAAAGGCUGCCAUUUUAUUUCAAAAUUAGAAUUUAGAAUUGGAAUUGGAAUUGGAAUAGUGUGUGCAUGACAUCUCAAAGCCAGGACAACUACUCGGAUUUAAGACGUUAAACUCUUACAUGCAGACAACACUUAAACUGUGCUGUGUAACAGAUGUGUUUUACAGGAACACAUUUUCAAAGAAAAUGACUUCUAGCUUGAAGACAGCGAAGACAGAUCAGGGUUUACUGCCACCUCGGGUGAAAGCUAACGCACUCCGCUGUCCACAGGCAUCCACUCUUCAGAGCUCUUCCAGAAAAACUCUACCUGGAAAAAGAAAGGAGCUCCUAGAGCAGCUUGAAGUACAGAAGAGUAACACUUCUGGAAAAGCUCAGGUAGAGCGCCUCCCAAAGCGCUUGGCUUUUGCUCUGCCCCUUGUCCCCAGAAGAGGACGAAGAUUUCUGGCAGGCCCGCCGGAGAGUCUAGAGAAUAUAAAGGCUCAUCAGCUCAUCAACACACCAUGCGGGUCUCAGUGGGUGUCUGAGUAUGUGGGAAACUUUGAUUCGCCACAAAUUGUCCACUUACCUCCGGAGUACCACUGCAUACUUAACCCUCAUUCUGCAGACAAGAAUCAACAAGCCGCAUACCAGGCCAUCUACGGUCCUGAGCUGAACAAGUACACGCCACUGCCUCCUCUCAACCCAGCCAGGUCUGCAGUCAAUGAGAACCAUCAGUGCUUACUGCCACCUCUGGUGAAAUCUACCGCACGCCACUGUCCACAGGCAUCCACUCUUCAGGAUCCUCCUCCUAUAGCUUCCAGAAAAGCUCUACCUGGAAAAAGAAAGGAGCUCCUAGAGCAGCUUGAAGUACAGAAGAGUAACACUUCUGGAAAUGCUCAGAUGGAGCUCCGGGCUCCUGCUCCACCCACUGUCCCCAGAAGAGGACGAAGAUUUUUGGCAGGCCUGCCGGAGAGUCUAGAGUGUAUAAAGGCUCAUCAGUUCAUCAACACACCAUGCGGGUCUCAGUGGGUGUCUGAGUAUGUGGAAAACUUUGAUUCGCCACACCAUACCAGGCCAUCUACGGUCCUGAGAUCCGCACCAGACAGUUCAGCCUUGCUCUGUACCGACUGCUCCAAGGAACACCUUAGAAAGCAGGUCUCCGGGCUGCAAAUGUAAAAACACAAAAAAAGACACAAAGAGUAAUUCAUGUGUGACGAUCUCGCUGGCAGAUGGCGCUGCGGCGACAACGUGCGCGAUCAGCUGGAAAGCGCGUGCACGUGCUUGAAGUGCGCAUGGACGCUAAGACUUUGUUUACAAUGGACAUGUGCACUUAUUUUGGUUUCUGUUCUGUCCCCGCCCUAUUCAGUUAUUGGCGGAGGUGCGAGGGUGUGCUUUGAAAUGUUACCAGCUGUCAACAAUUAAGUCUUGUUUGGUAACAUCAUGAAGCUUGUUUGAGACUGCAACGUCAGUAUUCAACUUCUUACUUUUGCUGCCCAAUUCUCCAUGGAUGUGUGAGUAUGAGAAUAACUGCACAUUCUUUGGCCUCAUCACAUCAGGACAACCAGUCUAUUUGCAGAGAAGUACACACAUAAAACACCAAAGUUUUCAACAGCUGACAAAAUUGCAUAAAGAAAAAUUCCCAGAUACCCACAGACUUUCACAGGCAACUUAUGAUACCCACAGACUUUCACAGACAACACCAUUAUUAAUAUUUCACAAUUAAUGACUCGCAUAUUAAGCCACCCUGAGCCUUGUGAUGUCGGUGAAGCAGGAGUUACUUCAGUCACUACAUCAGACAUGCAUAUUGAGAAUGUCAUGAAUAAAGACACAGUGGGUUUGAGCAUACAACAGGAGUACAGCGUCUACGACUCAGUAGCAAAGAGGUUUGGAGCGGAGUCCUGCAUUCAAGAGAGCCCUGCAUUGAAAGUGCAGAGGAUUUGUGACAAAGCAAAAAGACAAGAUCCCACAUCGUCAACGCUCGCUUCUUCAAACAGAGGGUCUCUUCCAAACAUGGAAACUGAAAACCUGAUGAAUGAUGGGAACAAGCCAACAGUUACAGCUGAAUCAGAAUUUCAGAGUGGAAAUGUGAAGAGUUCUACAGCUCAUGGUACUAUUCAGACACAACUGAGGCCUAGUGUACACACUGCGAGCGAAUCACCUUCCCCUGAAUCCGCCUUGCUGCGCGUUGACCCGGACUUUGCCGCCCUCAGGCUCGAGUUGCUGGCUUCGCUGAGGAAGGACAUCGCCGAUAUUUUUAAAAAGGAACUCCAGGAGACUCUUGGGGAUGCACUGUCUACUAUCAAGCUUGACCUGCAAGCCAUGAAGACACAGCUGGUUAGUGAUAAAGUUGCUACCGAUGCUACCAUAUCAACACUGAAAGGUACUGUUGUGGAAAUGGAGCACGCUCUCUCUGGUUGCACCGAUGCUAUAGCUCAGAUAAAGACUACUAUUGAGUCUCUCACUGCGACCGUAACCAAGUUAGAGAAUAAAUAUGAGGACUUGGAGUCUACGUCAUGGCGCAAUAACAUUCGGAUAGUGGGAGUUCCAGAGGGGCCUGACACCUGUACAACUGCUGCUGUAGCGGCCUUGCUGAAGGAGGCGUUUGGUCUGGAGAAGGAGCCGGUUUUGGACCGGACCCUUCAGCCUAAGCCCAAGCCUGGUGAACGACCACGAGCUAUUGUGUGCAGAUUCCACUAUCACAGUGACUGUGUUGACAUUUUACGCCGUGUGAGAGAGCUCCAACGGAUGAAAGUGAGGGAUUUGACCAUUUUAGUCUUCCCGGACCACACAGCCAAGAUAGCCCGGGCUCGGGCCGCGUUUAACGAGGUUAGGCAUCAACUUCGUGGCAUUGAGGGUGCUCGGCUCGGCUUCGCAUUACUUAUAACAGUGUUCAGGAGGACUUUGUUUCAGUGGAGGAAGCGAGGGACUAUGUCAAAUUCUCGACAUCUGGGUGCGCUGCAUCACCUACGACAGCGGCGUCUUUUUCGCCCUCCUUAAAUCUACCUCUGAAAUAAUGUGGUUCUCUGUUUUGAUGCUCUGACUAGGUUAGAGUUUCUGUUUAAAUUAUGUUAGUAUUUUUUUCUCUGCCUUACAUGCUACACUGUUUCGUCUAAUUUGUAACAAGUCUUUAAAAGAUUAUAUUUGUUAUUGAGCGCAGACUGUUUUUCAGACUUGAAGUCAGUAGGAGCCUUUUCUCUUACUGAGACUUUUUUUUGGUAACUUUUUUGGUUAGUUCGGCUUACUCUCCGAAUUGUUUUCACUUUGUGGACAACUUUUGGUUACUGUGGGAAACACUGCUGUCUCCUUUGUUCUUUUGUUAUAUGGAGACUUUGGGUGUGUGUGUGUGUUUUAGGGGUUUGUUGGGGGGAGGGUGUCCCACUUCGGCUCUAAUUGGCUAUUUGUAUCCCUGUGGUUUACUUUAUUUAAAUGGUUAAUAGUAAUAUGGAUCCCAGCACAGGUGGGACAGGCACACCUCUAAGAUUUAUUAGUUGGAAUGUCAGAGGUAUGGGUAAUCCUGUCAAGAGAUCUAAGGUUUUUACACAUUUGAAACGUUUAAACUCUGAUAUAAUAUUUUUACAGGAGACUCACCUACGUAUUAAAGAUCAUCAUAGGUUACACUGCCCUUGGGUGAGUCAAGUCUUCCACUCGAACUUUAAUUCGAAGGCGGAGGGGUCACUAUUUUAAUUGGCAAAAGGGCACAGUUUUCGUCCACUAACAUUAUUGCUGAUGUGAAUGGUAGAUAUAUUAUAGUUGCUGGUACCCUAAUGCAAAGACAGGUUUUGUUGGUAAAUGUAUGAGUGGUACAUCCACACCAUUUACACUGUGCACUCCAGAGGCAAUGCAAACCGUGGCAUUGGCAAAAGAAGCGUGGAGUACCAUUCGUUUGUGUCGCACAACACCUGUGCUAGGUGCUCAAACCAGGACGCACCUGCUAUCGCUGAAAUGAUCAGUGCUGAACACAAUUGAGGCACCAACAUCAUGCACAUCGUUCUGGAGCGCCAGCAGGCAGUGCAGGCUGGUGAGGUUUCUGCUGAACACCUCAUACAGCACGAAAUAGCCAAUCGUGGCAGUAAGGAAGAGGCGGUGAUGGCAACAGUUGGGGUCAACAGUCUCAGUUGGACUGCUGCUCUUCAGCCUCAUCGUGGCGAUGCUUGUCCUAUUGCUUCGAUCGCAGAAGAGACCAGAAAAGGAAGUGAGAACGAGAUCAGAAAAGGAGGGACUAACAGUUUCUGCCAGCAUGCAGCCGGUUAUAUUGAGGAGUGGUUUUGAAGGCAGCGACGGCUCUGAGGUGUGACGGCUGCAGAAUUCGGUCCUGAUAAGUGUGUGCCAUCUUGGAUGAGUCACAGUGCUCUGAAUUUGCAAUUUAACAAGUGCCUCAGAAAGAUUCGGUUCUGCUGAAGGCCUGUCAAAUCCAGCUGCAUUCUAAACAUCUGGCUGAGUAGUUUCGAUUAACUGUGCUCUUCAAGUAUGAGAGCCAAGAACUGUGCUGUACUGUUUCAGGACAGGCCACAACUGCGUGCACAGACGACAUGCUAAUUAUUGUAGUUUUUAAGAUGUAUAUCUUGAUUUCAAAAGACCCAGGAUUAUCGCAUAGUUUGAUUUUAUAUCACAAUUGUUAAAUAUUGGCGAUUUGUAUUCAAUUUUGGGGAUAUGUAAUGGGGUUACUUAUUUAGAAUAACACAAAACAGACAGGCUACAGAUAAGUCCAGUAGGAAGAUAGGAACUGUUAUAAGAUUGAUACAAAUAAAAAGAAAGUUGAAAAGGAUAAUGAGGGGGAAAAAAGCGGGUCAAAUCAGAUCACCAAAAUUGUAUGGUCAUUUACAUUAAGUUUCCACUUCCAGUUUCCAUCAGUAACAAAAUACACUUUAAAAUGUGGUUCCAUUAUAUUAUGUUAGUAGAGAGAAACUGCUGAGUGUGCCCAAAUAUAAAACUGUAAGAAACACUGAAUGCCUGCUGAGAGUUGUUUACAUAGUUUGGUGUAAUGAGCCAUACACAUGUUUUUGUUUACAUGAAAUACAUCACGUUUUAUGUAUUCUUUUAUGACAUCACUGUUCAUUAUCAUUACUUGUUAUGUAUUUUAUGCACAUACAACUGAAUUUGGAGUGAUAGCACUGUGUGUAUUAAACAUCUGAUUAAUUGUC